This 340-nucleotide long non-coding RNA is filed under the name Elaeis guineensis (African oil palm). RNAcentral describes it as "long non-coding RNA (EGUI_LNC039548)". The record is from RNAcentral. Lineage: Eukaryota; Viridiplantae; Streptophyta; Magnoliopsida; Arecales; Arecaceae.
GCUUUAAUAGUUUUUAUAAAGUAUAUCUGAUGUGAUCCAAUGUUCUAAUAGGUCAUCACAUUGUUUGACUACGAGUUUGACGAUACUAUACUUAAUAGUCAUAUGAUGAUGCAGAAAUGAUGAUAGUGUUAGAUGUGUGUCCUAGAUGCCAGAUCGGCUGACACAUUCCUGUAUAGAUCUAAGGGCAAAUUUGUAAUUUUGACUAUAAAUGAAUAAAAAGGUUAUUCUUCUAUCACAUUGUGUACAUUGUGUCUGUGAUACAUCCUUUGAGUUAGUAGGAAUAUAAAUUCAUAUUUUCAAGAGUUGAAAAUUUAAGGCAUGAAUUUACAUAACUAACUCA